AUUCCAUUUGAUUUCAUUCGAUGAUGAUUCCAUUUGAUUGCAUUCGAUGAUUCCAUUCUAUUCCAUUCGAUGAUGAUUCCAUUGGAGUCCAUUUGAUGAUUCUAUCCGAUUGCAUUCGAUGAUUCCAUUCUAUUCCAUUCGAUGAUGAUUCCAUUCGAGUCCAUUUAAUGAUUCCAUUGGGUUCAAUUCAAUGAUGAUUACAUUGGAUUCCAUUCAAUGAUCCUUGUGAUUCCAUUCGGUGAUUAUUCCAUUUGAUUCCUGUCAAUGACGAUUCCAUUUGAUUCCAUUCUUUGAUGAUUCCAUUUGAUUCCAUUCGAUGAUGAUUCGAUUUGAUUCCAUUCGAUGAUGAUUCCAUUCGAUUCCAUUCGAUGAUGAUUCCAUUCGAUUUCAUUUGAUGAUUCUCUUCGAUUCCAUUCAAUGUUGAUUCAAUUCUAUUCCAUUCGAGGAUUCCAUUCAAUUCCAUCUGAUGAUGAUUCCAAUCGAUUCCAUUCGAUGAUGAUUCCCUUUGAUUGCAUUCGAUGAUUAUUCCAUUCGAGUGCAUUCGAAGACAACAUUCGAUUCCAUUCUAUCAUAAUUCCACUCGAGUCCAUUCGAAG
Molecule: long non-coding RNA, 596 nt
Filed under: Homo sapiens (human)
Lineage: Eukaryota; Metazoa; Chordata; Mammalia; Primates; Hominidae
Description: HSALNT0385606
Source: RNAcentral